Molecule: transfer RNA, 71 nt
Filed under: Marmota marmota marmota (Alpine marmot)
Lineage: Eukaryota; Metazoa; Chordata; Mammalia; Rodentia; Sciuridae
Also listed under: 3 other names
Rfam family: tRNA
About the family: Transfer RNA (tRNA) molecules are approximately 80 nucleotides in length.
Source: Rfam by way of RNAcentral
GGGGGUAUAGUUCAAUGGCAGAGCACUUGCCUACCAUGCACAAAGUCCUGGGUUCAAUCCCAGCACUGCCA